UGCCUGAACCCAAUUAGCUUGCCCAUUGGCCGCCACCCAAUUAUUCAAUGCCUUCUGGAGAAUCCUUCCACGAUUCUCCCUUCUCAAGUUUUUAAGGCUAGGGUAUCUCCAGUAGCACCAGCAUGUCAUUCUGUCCCACUUCUUGAGCUUACGCUCCUACUCCCAGGUUUAUCCUCUCACCACAAUCUCUCUCUAUUUUUAUUUUCUUUUUUUGAACUAAAUCUCUUUGACCUCUGAUUCUUCUCUUGCCACAGAAGUCAAAACCAACACUACAUCUCCUCCUUUCUUGCAAAUACCACAUUGAGCUCGGAGCUCGUGAGAAGGCAUUGAGCCUUCUCACCUUCUUGUCUGCUAUAUGUUGCUCUAUGGCUUCGAUCUCCAAUAGACGCCACUCUAUGGCUCCAAUAGCUAGGUCCUUUGGCCUGAGCUUCUUUGUCGAUGACCUAGUUGGCUGCUUCACCGUCUUCAUCCGCUCGACAAAGCUCUACAAUAAGAUCUUCGUCAACAUCUUCUCCAUGCCCAUUUAUUCCGCAAGAAGCCCUUCAAUGAGCAUAACAUCAUCUACAUGUUUGAUUAGCAGCACAAGGACCUCGGUCCCU
Molecule: long non-coding RNA, 599 nt
Filed under: Elaeis guineensis (African oil palm)
Lineage: Eukaryota; Viridiplantae; Streptophyta; Magnoliopsida; Arecales; Arecaceae
Description: long non-coding RNA (EGUI_LNC077386)
Source: RNAcentral